This 580-nucleotide ribosomal RNA is filed under the name Talaromyces marneffei. Its description in RNAcentral is "eukaryotic LSU rRNA". It matches the Rfam family "Eukaryotic large subunit ribosomal RNA", at positions 54 to 648 of the family's 3401-position model. The record is from RNAcentral. Lineage: Eukaryota; Fungi; Ascomycota; Eurotiomycetes; Eurotiales; Trichocomaceae.
AGCAAAAGAAACCAACCGGGAUUGCCUCAGUAACGGCGAGUGAAGCGGCAAGAGCUCAAAUUUGAAAUCUGGCCCCCUCGGGGUCCGAAGUUGUAAUUUGCAGAGGAUGCUUCGGGUGCGGUCCCCAUCUAAGUGCCCUGGAACGGGCCGUCAUAGAGGGUGAGAAUCCCGUCUGGGAUGGGCGGCCGCGCCCGUGUGAAGCUCCUUCGACGAGUCGAGUUGUUUGGGAAUGCAGCUCUAAGCGGGUGGUAAAUUUCAUCUAAAGCUAAAUACUGGCCGGAGACCGAUAGCGCACAAGUAGAGUGAUCGAAAGAUGAAAAGCACUUUGAAAAGAGAGUUAAACAGCACGUGAAAUUGUUGAAAGGGAAGCGUUGUCCACCAGACUCGCCCGGGGGGGCUCAGCCGGCACGUGUGCCGGUGUACUCCCCUCCGGGCGGGCCAGCAUCGGUUUGGGCGGCUGGUGAAAGGCCCCGGGAAUGUAACACCCUCCGGGGUGCCUUAUAGCCCGGGGUGCCAUGCAGCCAGCCUGGACCGAGGCCCGCGCUUCGGCGAGGAUGCUGGCGUAAUGGUGGUCAACGGC